Long non-coding RNA from Podarcis raffonei (Aeolian wall lizard), 1511 nucleotides. RefSeq lists it as uncharacterized. The record is from RefSeq and is a predicted model, not a curated record. NCBI's taxonomy places the organism in Eukaryota, Metazoa, Chordata, Lepidosauria, Squamata, Lacertidae. The transcript has 2 exons.
GGUUGCUAAGGAAAAUUCACAAAACAAAAACUCUUAGCUACCUAAAGCAUAUUAUGGUCUUAGACAUAAGGAGACAAGAGGAGCUCUGCUGGCUCAGGCCAGUGGCCCACCUAGGCCAGCAGCCAACCAGGUGGCUUGAGGGAGGCCCCUGAGCAGGAUCUGAGCACAACAGCACUCUCCUCACUUGAGACUGCCAUCAACGGAUAUUGAGAAGUAUCCUGCCUCCAACAGUGGCAUUUUUCUUCUCCAAGCCUGCUUUUCUGUAACUUAGGAGUCACAGGUUUUGUACAAAAGUUUAUUCUAACUACAUGUGAAGCAGAGUCAAAUCCCCACCCUUGCACAAAGUUCUCUAGCUGCACUAGUCAACAUCUCUCAGCUCAACUUCUCUCCCUAGGUUGCCAUGAAAGAAUAGCAUGUGCUGUGACACAGAUUAAUUUUAAGUGGUUAAAUACUGCAUUGAUUACUGUGUGUCCCCUAUUGAUCAUCGUAUCCCCAUCCUGUUUGCAAUCUUUAUCUUGUUUGUCCAUAUUAAAGGACCUAGAAAGGAGGGCACAACCGUUCCUCUUUUGUGUAAGAGCAGCUGUGCAGACCUGGACCCCUGGCAGACUGGAGACAAAAGACAGAACGGAUAAUGAUCCACCGCUAGAGGGCCACAAGGAACAUGGAAAAUUUAGACUAUCUUUCUUAAUGCUCCUCUUGGUUCUGGAUCACAUACAAACACAAGCAAACAAAAAACAAACGCCCUGUGGCCACAGACCUCUGGCCUGUCCAGAAGCUCUUUCAUUUCCUCCCACAGGCUCGCACAUCAACUCUCCACUACUCCUUUGGUGCAAGGAUGCACCCGAUACUUACAAGCCCAGGCAUCUGAGCCCAUACAAGCGGACUCAGCAAUGUAAGGCUACAAGCCCUACGCAAACGCACCUUGGCGCAAGCGUCACUGGAUUCCGUGGGAAUGACACUCACUGUGAUACCAUUAAGGUAAGGGGUAUAAUAAGCAAUUUUUGUAUCUGGAAAACAUAUCUUCAGAUCAAUGCACUAAAUUUAAGUAACAAUGUUUGUGACUGUAUGUGCUCUGACUGAAGAGGUUCACAUAUAAGUGUCCAUUCCCAAAGUUUUUUUAAAAAAGAGUAGAAAAUAUGAAGACCUUGAACAAUUUCCUUACACAGGAGAUCUGUCUUGGGUGUAGAGAAAUAAGAGCCAAGGUGAACAGUUGUCAUCUGGUCAACUGUCUUGCUUCAGUCUGGCCAUGAUCCAAAGAGAGGCGGGUACUGUCCCACCUCAUUCUCUGACUCACUGAAUGGAUUCUCUCUGCCUCCACUGCUAUUGAAGACACACAGCAAAUGUUACCUUCUCCUCCUACUUUGAGAGGAGCACAUCCACCCCCCAAUUUCAGUACCUUAUUAAGUGCAAGAGGAGCAGUUGGCAAUUCAGGAGACCACUGAUCUCUGGAGAGAAAAAGGAAAUUGCAGCAAUUAGCUUAUUUUGAAGAACAAAAUAAAUUAUGUAUUUUA